AUUGAACGCUGGCGGCAGGCCUAACACAUGCAAGUCGAACGGUAACAGGAAGAAGCUUGCUUCUUUGCUGACGAGUGGCGGACGGGUGAGUCAUGUCUGGGAAACUGCCUGAUGGAGGGGGAUAACUACUGGAAACGGUAGCUAAUACCGCAUAACGUCGCAAGACCAAAGAGGGGGACCUUCUGGCCUCUUGCCAUCGGAUGUGCCCAGAUGGGAUUAGCUAGUAGGUGGGGUAACGGCCCACCUAGGCGACGAUCCCUAGCUGGUCUGAGAGGAUGACCAGCCACACUGGAACUGAGACACGGUCCAGACUCCUACGGGAGGCAGCAGUGGGGAAUAUUGCACAAUGGGCGCAAGCCUGAUGCAGCCAUGCCGCGUGUAUGAAGAAGGCCUUCGGGUUGUAAAGUACUUUCAGCGGGGAGGAAGGGAGUAAAGUUAAUACCUUUGCUCAUUGACGUUACCCGCAGAAGAAGCACCGGCUAACUCCGUG
RNAcentral lists this ribosomal RNA (490 nucleotides) under uncultured bacterium. RNAcentral's name for it is "partial 16S ribosomal RNA". It matches the Rfam family "Bacterial small subunit ribosomal RNA", at positions 30 to 507 of the family's 1533-position model. The record is from RNAcentral.